AUUGAACGCUGGCGGCAUGCUUUACACAUGCAAGUCGAACGGCAGCGCGGGCUUCGGCCUGGCGGCGAGUGGCGAACGGGUGAGUAAUGCAUCGGAACGUGCCCAGUAGUGGGGGAUAGCCCGGCGAAAGCCGGAUUAAUACCGCAUACGACCUGAGGGUGAAAGCGGGGGACCGAAAGGCCUCGUGCUAUUGGAGCGGCCGAUGUCGGAUUAGCUAGUUGGUGGGGUAAAGGCUUACCAAGGCGACGAUCCGUAGCUGGUCUGAGAGGACGACCAGCCACACUGGGACUGAGACACGGCCCAGACUCCUACGGGAGGCAGCAGUGGGGAAUUUUGGACAAUGGGGGCAACCCUGAUCCAGCAAUGCCGCGUGCGGGAAGAAGGCCUUCGGGUUGUAAACCGCUUUUGUUCGGGAAGAAAUCCUCUGGGCUAAUACCCAGGGGGGAUGACGGUACCGGAAGAAUAAGCACCGGCUAACUACGUG
Molecule: ribosomal RNA, 484 nt
Filed under: uncultured bacterium
Lineage: Bacteria
Description: partial 16S ribosomal RNA
Rfam family: Bacterial small subunit ribosomal RNA
Source: RNAcentral